AGAUGGCGACCGGCGCACGGGUGAGUAACACGUAUCCAACCUGCCGAUAACUCGGGGAUAGCCUUUCGAAAGAAAGAUUAAUACCCGAUGGCAUAAUAGAACCGCAUGGUUUGAUUAUUAAAGAAUUUCGGUUAUCGAUGGGGAUGCGUUCCAUUAGGCAGCUGGUGGGGUAACGGCCCACCAAACCUUCGAUGGAUAGGGGUUCUGAGAGGAAGGUCCCCCACAUUGGAACUGAGACACGGUCCAA
RNAcentral lists this ribosomal RNA (247 nucleotides) under uncultured bacterium. RNAcentral describes it as "partial 16S ribosomal RNA". It matches the Rfam family "Bacterial small subunit ribosomal RNA", at positions 86 to 334 of the family's 1533-position model. The record is from RNAcentral.